RNAcentral lists this ribosomal RNA (120 nucleotides) under Haloarcula japonica. The record is from RNAcentral. Lineage: Archaea; Methanobacteriati; Methanobacteriota; Halobacteria; Halobacteriales; Haloarculaceae.
AGUGGUGGCCAUAUCGGCGGGGUUCCUCCCCGUACCCAUCCUGAACACGGAAGAUAAGCCCGCCAGCGUCCGGCAAGUACUGGAGUGCGCGAGCCUCUGGGAAAUCCGGUUCGCCGCCAC